RNAcentral lists this ribosomal RNA (431 nucleotides) under uncultured bacterium. RNAcentral's name for it is "partial 16S ribosomal RNA". It matches the Rfam family "Bacterial small subunit ribosomal RNA", at positions 29 to 507 of the family's 1533-position model. The record is from RNAcentral.
AACGAACGCUGGCGGCAGGCCUAACACAUGCAAGUCGAGCGCCCCGCCAGGGGAGCGGCGGACGGGUGAGUAACGCGUGGGAAUAUGCCCUUUGCUACGGAAUAGUCUCGGGAAACUGGGGGUAAUACCGUAUAUGCCCUUUGGGGGAAAGAUUUAUCGGCGAAGGAUUAGCCCGCGUUGGAUUAGGUAGUUGGUGGGGUAAUGGCCUACCAAGCCGACGAUCCAUAGCUGGUUUGAGAGGAUGAUCAGCCACACUGGGACUGAGACACGGCCCAGACUCCUACGGGAGGCAGCAGUGGGGAAUCUUAGACAAUGGGGGCAACCCUGAUCUAGCCAUGCCGCGUGAGUGAUGAAGGCCUUAGGGUUGUAAAGCUCUUUCAGCUGGGAAGAUAAUGACGGUACCAGCAGAAGAAGCCCCGGCUAACUCCGUG